Molecule: long non-coding RNA, 356 nt
Filed under: Androctonus crassicauda
Lineage: Eukaryota; Metazoa; Arthropoda; Arachnida; Scorpiones; Buthidae
Source: RNAcentral
GUCCAUUUUCAUAUUUUAAAAUAAGUUCCUGUUUAAAUUCAAUGGUGAUUCUCACAGCCUUUCUUUUGGAUUUUCUUUCUUCAUUUUCUACUAUUUUACCUAUUUCUGAUAAUGUACUAUACAGUAGAUUAAUAAAAGUAAUGCAAAGCUACACAAAAAAUAACGAUCAAGCCAUGAGAGUCACAAAACACAAUGACAGAUUCUCAACUGCCAAAAAACGAUUGUUGCCAGAAAAUUUAUCUAAACAUUUGUAAAAAUUACUACUAAGAAAGUAGCCCAAAGAUCGCAAAGCGAUAAAAGUUGCCCAAGCUGGCAACUUGAGAUUACUGAUAUUGUUCCAAUAUAGCGAUAUAUGU